GUCGCAGAGAGGAUGGUGCUGGGGAGAGCAUUUCGGACAGAGGGAACCAAGGGACUGAGCACACAGAAAGGGCCUGAGCAGGGAAGAAUCACUGGUGCAUUGUAGGACCGGAAUGCAGGGUUUUACUGUCACCUAGGCUGGAGUGACAUCAUCAGAGUUCACUGCAGCCUCGAUCUGCUGGGCUCAAGCCAUCCUCCCACCUAAGCCUCCCGAAGAGCUAAGACCACAGCAAGGAUCAGGCAUUGUAACAGCCUCAUGAAGUUGUGAAGAUUAAACGAAGUGACACAUGUGAAUCAUUGAGGACAAUGCUGGGCAAAUAAGACAACACAAAAAGAGAGAGAAAGAUGCUGUAUUCUUCCUACCUGUGUCCCAGAAUCCUGAACAGCCGCCGGUGUGCAGGGCCUGGUGGGAAGUGACGUUGCUGCAGAAGCUGCAGUGCUGACGAGGAGGGCAGCAUCCCUCAGAGAGAAGGACACCACAGAGAGUCCCUACCAGCCAGGAGGCUCUCACCAGAUGCGCCCCCUUGACCUUGGACCUCCUAGCUUCAAAAACUGUCAUACAAGACACUCUGUCUUGCUCUCUUGAAUUGCCUGCUCUGGUGGAAGCCAGCCAGCUUCUGCCAUGUCAUGAGAACACUCAUGCAGCCCUGGGAAGAGUCCACGUGGUGAGGAACUGAGGCCUCCUGCCAACAGCCAAGUGAAAGCACCAUCCUGGAAGAGGACCCUCCAGCCCUCAUUAAGUCUGUCAAGCCUUGAGAUGAAUGAACCAACACUAUGAAUGUAACUUCACGAGAGGCUCUGAGCCAGAACCACUCAGCUAAGCCACAGUAACUGUGAAAUAAUCAUGUAUUACUGUUUUAGGCCAGCAAGUUUUGAGAGAAUUUAUUAUGUGGUAAUAGAUAACUAAUACAGUUGUGCUUGUUAUGUUUGGUACUUAAUCAUUUUUACCACCACCACAUCAGCACACUGUAGUAGAAAACAAAUUGUAUGCAUUAAACCGUUUCUUUUUCCCUGAUGAAUUAGGCUGGCUGUCAAGGGGAAAAGUGACCAUCAGAGAUUUUUAAAUGAUCCGAAUGAUUCCAUUAAACAUCACUUAGUAGUCUGCUAGGACUGCCAUAACAAAAUAGCACAUACUGGGUGGCUUAAACAACAGAACUUCAUGUUCUCACAAUUCUGGAAGCUGCAAGUUCAAGAUCAAGGCAUCAGCAGGGUUGGUUUCUUCUGUGGCCCUGGUUUGCAGAUGGCCAUCUUGCUAUGUUCUUACAUGAUCUUUCCUCUGUGUGUGUCUGUGUCCUAAUCUCCAGUACACCAGCCAUAUUGGAUUAGGGCCUACCCAUAUGACCUCAUUUUACCUUAAUUGCCCCUUUAAAGGCCCUAUCUAUAAAUCUAUAAAUACAGUAACAUUCUGAGGUUACUGGGGGCUAGGACUUCAACACGUAAAUUUUUGGGGCCACAAUUUAGCCAAGAACACAGCACUACCACAUUUCCUUCUCUCCCUCCCUUCCUUUCUCCCUUUCUCUUUUCUUUUUUCUUUUCCUUUCCUUUCUUUUCUUUUUCCUCUUUUCUUUUCUCUCUCUUUCUUUUCUUCCUUCUUUCUUUUUCUUUCUUUCUUUCUUUCUUUCUUUCUUUCUUUCUUUCUUUCUUUCUUUCUUUCUUUCUUUCUCUCUUUCUCUCUCUUUCCUUCCCUCCCUUCCUUCCUCUCUUCUCUCUCUCUCUCUUUCUCUCUUUCCUUCUUUCUGAAGGAGUUUUGCUCUUGUUGCCCAGGCUGGAGUGCAAUGGCACGAUCUUGGCUCGCUGCAACCUUUGCCUCCCAGGUUCAAGUGAUUCUCUUGCCUCAGCCUCCAUAGUAGCUGGGACUACAGGCGUGCACCACCACAUUUGGUUAAUAUUUUUGUAUUUUUAGUAGAGGCAGGGUUUCACCAUGUAGGUCAGGCUGGUCUCGAACUCCUGACCUCAAGUGAUCCACCCACCUCGUCUCCCAAAGUGCUGAGAUUACAGGUGUGAGCCACUGCUCCCAGCCUAUCAUUUCAUGCAGAGCAUUCAACUGGAAAAACCCAGUAAUAUAUCUUAUAUUAUAGACUGUCCUAAUUGUUCACCUAAAGGUCUGAACACCUUUUUUAUUUAAUCAUAUUAAACCAGGUUCUCUUUAGAAGACUAAAAAAAAGAAGAAGGCAGUUCUACCAAAUUGUUUCAGGCAUCUCUCUCCUCUUCUGCUAUGUGAGUAUAAUCAUGCUAAGCUUAUUUCUACUUUAAGCACAUUACCCUAGCUGUUCCUUUUUCCUAGGGAACUUUUCUCCCAGAUAUUUGCAAGACUAGCCUUCUCCUGUCACGUAGAUGUCAGCUUUCAAAUCCCGUCCUCAGAAAUGUCUUUCCUGUUUCUAAUCUGCAGUGGCCUUGUCCCCCCACUCCCAGCUCUCUUGUUUCACCAUCUUCUGUUUUCUUUGUGGCACCAUGUCUAUCAGAAAACAUAUUCUAUCUGAUAAUUCUGGUUUACUGCUUAUGUAUUUAUUGUCUGUGUUCCUUCACUAGAACACAAGUUUUGUAUUUAUCACUCUAGGCUUUUAUUGUCAACCAUGUUCGCAGGCUUUAGUGAUAGGGUAGGUGGAUUGGAGACGGGGAAGGAAAAGGGGAGGGGAACAAAAACCAAAACUGCCUGGACAGGGCAGAUGCCAAGAACACCUGGGGCAUGGAAUUAGGAAAGGGAGGUUUGUAGGUUUGUAGAGGAAACACUUCUGAAGGGCCACAAGAUGUGUGACAAUAAGAGGGGAAAAGAACAACACUUUUAAAGAAGUGCUAUUGGGUGUGUUUAUGUUCCUUGAGAGAUUCAGGAAAAGACGAAAGUACUCUUUAAUUAUUUUGAUUGCAGUAAUGUGUAUAUAUGACCAUGAUGCCCUAUGUAAAAAGUAGCCUGGAUUUCACAAUCCAAGAGGUAGGCCUUGUUAGAACACCGUCCUCUGCUGAAAUUCUGGUUUUGUGUAUCAGUCUCCAUAAAGGUAGUCCCUAGAAUAAUACAGAAUUACUUUUGGGUCUCUAUAACUAAGGAUUCUGGAACAGCCCCUCACUCUGCUGCCAGUGGGGCUAGACAGUACUCAGCACAUAAUGAGAACUGAAGAAAUGUUAUCUCCUAGGGAGACUGCAGUGUUCAUGAGCCAGGCAGAAGGAAGAUGGUAUAGAUGGUGCUGGGGAGGCAAACUGAGGCUCUCCCCCAAUCGUAGGUCAAUGGGGGAAAUACUGGGGGGGAAAGAGAGGGAGGGAGGGACAGGGAGAGGGGGAGAGAGAGAGAGAGAGGGAGAGAGAGAGAGAGAGAGAGAGAGAGAGAGAGAGAGAGGUGGCUCUUAUUUGAAUAAAGUAUUAUUAUUGGACUUGAUCUUUUGGGAGAAUACAGUGAGAAGAGAACAUUCUAGAAAAUGGCUGCUUGUUGAAAUAGGGGCAGAAAGACCUGGUACUACUCGUUCCCCAACCUUUUAACUUGUAAAGAGUCAUGGGUUAAUAUGCUGCCCUAGGCAUCGUAAGUGUACCCAGGGCAUUUUGGUAGUUAAGUGUCAAGUAAACUGUCUGAAGGUCCGCAAAUGGGAUAUUUAGAAUGCCUGACUGAACAGAUAGACCUCUGCCCAAGAGCCUGAUGAUGAGUAAGCAGCCACUUUGGCAGAUGGCCAGGGCAAAGGGUUCCAAGUCUGAGUACCACUGAUGAGAAUGUCUCAUCAUUUGAGAUUUGAGAUUAAAACUCUAAAGACUCAAACUUCUUGGUGCACCUGUUUGCAUCCCUGGUGGGGACAGGCCUGGAGGAGAGGGGGUCUGUCUAACACACUUAAGUCCCAGCCACCUUUCCAAGUGGUCUUGACCAAGGACAGCACACGCAUUCUUGACAUGUUCACUUGUGGACCACCUUGGUGUAAGGAAAUCAGGACUGGGGGGACAAACUCGGAUAUAGCUUUCAAGAUAUGAUCAGGCAUGAAAAUGAAAGUAACAUGUUGAAUAGGUGAAAGAAAAUUUUAUUUUAAAUUCUUUUUGAAUAAUAGCACAUUCUCAAGAAAUCCCUAGAAUUAAGUAUUUUUGUCAAUUAUUUAGUAAGUGCCUAAUUUGCUCUUGCUAGGGAAGAAAAUUACAUGGUUGUUCCUAAAUUAUUAAACAAUAUUUUCAUGGCAUUGACAGAGCAAGUAGCAAGGUAUUGACCAGUCACCCUGCUAUAGGAAAACUCUUGG
Molecule: long non-coding RNA, 4201 nt
Filed under: Homo sapiens (human)
Lineage: Eukaryota; Metazoa; Chordata; Mammalia; Primates; Hominidae
Description: HSALNT0121479
Source: RNAcentral